Bufo bufo (common toad) is the source of this 248-nucleotide long non-coding RNA. RefSeq lists it as uncharacterized. The record is from RefSeq and is a predicted model, not a curated record. The transcript is spliced from 2 exons. NCBI's taxonomy places the organism in Eukaryota, Metazoa, Chordata, Amphibia, Anura, Bufonidae.
GAGACAUAUGUGAGGGGUGAUGAGCAGAGUACAGAGGACAUUCCUACAGAUAACCGCCCAGAUGACUGUACCAGGAACUUAAAGAAACAUUUGGUAUCUUCAGAUUUUGAAGUAGAUGAUUGUGGUAUCACACGAGAUACAUUUGAAGAGCAUGCCAAUGUCCAAGAUAUACCCUCAUCCAAUCACAGCAACAAUGCAUCAUUUGAUUCUUUUAAACAGGUCCAAUCUUCUGAUUCAUCACAGACUGU